UACGUAGGCAGCAAGCGUUGUUCGGAAUUACUGGGCGUAAAGAGUGUGUAGGCGGUUUUCUAAGUUCGGUGUGAAAUCUCCCGGCUUAACUGGGAGGGUGCGCCGGGAACUGGAGGACUGGAGUGCCGGAGAGGAUAGCGGAAUUCCUGGUGUAGCGGUGAAAUGCGUAGAUAUCAGGAGGAACACCUGCGGUGUAGACGGCUAUCUGGACGGUUACUGACGCUGAGACACGAAAGCGUGGGUAGCAAACAGG
Molecule: ribosomal RNA, 253 nt
Filed under: uncultured bacterium
Lineage: Bacteria
Description: partial 16S ribosomal RNA
Rfam family: Bacterial small subunit ribosomal RNA
Source: RNAcentral